GGCGGCAGUAGCCGCCGCGACUCCAUCCGGGUCCCGCGCUGCUCCGGGUCACCCUGCGGCAGACUAACUUGAAGGCCCGGAAGUGCCGCCCCCGGGCGCUCCUGAGUGGCCGGUUGUCCUCGCCGCCCGCGGCGGAUAGGCCGCGGAUGCCGUCAGCGCCUCGCUCUGUUUUCAAGAUGUCUUUGCUAAGAAGGGGACUGUAAGUCACAUCUAUCUG
Molecule: long non-coding RNA, 217 nt
Organism: Rhea pennata
Lineage: Eukaryota; Metazoa; Chordata; Aves; Rheiformes; Rheidae
Exons: 3
Source: RefSeq, a predicted model, not a curated record